CGCGUAGGUGGUAGUGCAAGUCUGGGGUGGAAUCCCAGGGCUUAACCCUGGAACUGCCUUGGAAACUGUAUUACUUGGGUCAGUGAGGGGAGGGUAGAAUCCCUGGUGUAGCGGUGAAAUGCGUAGAUAUCAGGAGGAAGGCCUGUGGCGAAGGCGGCCCUCUGGCGCUGAACUGACACUGAGGCGCGAAAGCGUGGGUAGCAAACAGGAUUAGAUACCCUGGUAGUCCACGCCCUAAACGGUGGGUACUAGGUGUGGGGCUCGUAAGGGUUCUGUGCCGAAGCGAAAGCAUUAAGUACCCCGCCUGGGGAGUACGGCCGCAAGGUUGAA
RNAcentral lists this ribosomal RNA (330 nucleotides) under uncultured bacterium. RNAcentral describes it as "bacterial SSU rRNA". It matches the Rfam family "Bacterial small subunit ribosomal RNA", at positions 568 to 898 of the family's 1533-position model. The record is from RNAcentral.